RNAcentral lists this ribosomal RNA (428 nucleotides) under Salmonella enterica subsp. enterica serovar Teshie. RNAcentral's name for it is "bacterial SSU rRNA". It matches the Rfam family "Bacterial small subunit ribosomal RNA", at positions 108 to 532 of the family's 1533-position model. Lineage: Bacteria; Pseudomonadati; Pseudomonadota; Gammaproteobacteria; Enterobacterales; Enterobacteriaceae. The record is from RNAcentral.
GAGUAAUGUCUGGGAAACUGCCUGAUGGAGGGGGAUAACUACUGGAAACGGUGGCUAAUACCGCAUAACGUCGCAAGACCAAAGAGGGGGACCUUCGGGCCUCUUGCCAUCAGAUGUGCCCAGAUGGGAUUAGCUAGUUGGUGAGGUAACGGCUCACCAAGGCGACGAUCCCUAGCUGGUCUGAGAGGAUGACCAGCCACACUGGAACUGAGACACGGUCCAGACUCCUACGGGAGGCAGCAGUGGGGAAUAUUGCACAAUGGGCGCAAGCCUGAUGCAGCCAUGCCGCGUGUAUGAAGAAGGCCUUCGGGUUGUAAAGUACUUUCAGCGGGGAGGAAGGUGUUGUGGUUAAUAACCGCAGCAAUUGACGUUACCCGCAGAAGAAGCACCGGCUAACUCCGUGCCAGCAGCCGCGGUAAUACGGAGGG